Oncorhynchus gorbuscha (pink salmon) is the source of this 1678-nucleotide long non-coding RNA. RefSeq lists it as uncharacterized. Lineage: Eukaryota; Metazoa; Chordata; Actinopteri; Salmoniformes; Salmonidae. The record is from RefSeq and is a predicted model, not a curated record. The transcript has 3 exons.
AACUAAAAAAAAUCUGUCUUGUCUCGUUCGUCUCGCUCUGGAUCAGCUACGACUCUGGAAAAAGAAGCUUGCGCAUGAGGCCUACCUCGACCUUUCGUAAAUCAAAGGCAUAUUUAACUAGUUUGUUAUUUGUUUUGUAUUUAAAACCAGUUUAUUGUAGUUCGUUUUUGACCUUUUUUAAGAAUAUGUCGAAAUUACUGUUAUUUUAUGACAACAUUUUGGUUUUUACGGGACUAUGCAAGAAUCCUCGGUCUCCAGUAUCAAGCGAUCAGUGUUCUUUUCAGUACUUCAACUGGGAAAGUCUGGGGAAAGCCUGCGGUGUUAAAUUACAAUACCCGUGAAAUACUUUACCAUAAUUCAAACGGAAAAGCUUGAAAUACACGUUUUCAGAGCAAACGUCGCUUUAAUUUGUAAUGUAAAUGGAAGAUUUUUCUGAAUUAGGGACGAGAUUGGAAGGCCACGUUUAACGCAGUGACACAGCCUGGCUUUGGCGGUAAGAAGUGUCUUGUUAGCUAACAAAAGUCCAUGCAAAUUUUAAAAUGUAUAGUUAUGAACUAGUAACAUCAACUAGUAAACUAACAUUUGGUUGGUGUUAAGUCAAGUAUUAAUGUUUUAUUAUCCUCGAGUUAGAUAAUCGUUUAAGAAUACUUAGUAGGUAACGUUGGCUUGUUGGAGAUGCGGCCAGCUAGCAGCGUUACCCCUUUGUGGGAGCAAGCGAGCUAAACUGUGAAACCCGCCAGUUUGAUACUGUAAUUACUUAAGGGUGGUAAAUUACCAACUUGUUUUAGAUAUUAUUUUUGCGCUGAUUUAUUUGUUACAAUGUCACGGAUGCCAAUAUAGACGCAUCUGAUGGCUUUAAUAUGUUGUUUAGUUUGCAAACAAAAAUGGCCACCGGGACUCCUGGGAGACCAGGUCGCUAGCUAGCAAGCCAACCUCAAACACUAUGUGCCAUGUUGUUCAAAGGCAUAACUUUGCGUGUAAAUCCAUAGGAAAUACAGGGUGGCAUUUAAUCUUCGUUUUUAUCAUUUAGUUAACUACCUAUUUAUCCACAUGUUGCGUGGUCUGUUAGCUGGCUGGCUGGCUAGUUAACCGAGUUGUAGACAUGGUCAAAACACUGGUCAUGGUUUUGUCUGGCACUGUCAGAGCAGAUAACAACUCAUGACAUUUCCUGUUAAUAUCUUCAAUAUAUGUACAAAUAUUUAAUAUGAUACUUGACUAUUUACACGAAUAUUUGUUUCCCUGUCUGUAUUGCUUGCUAGUAACAAUAGUUACCAAAUUGGUAACUUUGUACAUUCGUUGGAACCUCGUCUCAACAUGGCGGUGUUGUGACUGGUGCUUUUGCUUCUUGUUGGCAAGAAAAAUUGAGUCUUGUUAGGUACCAGCUAACUUGAAAGUUUGCCUUCACCAGAAUGGAUUGAGCAUGCCUCGAAAAGAGUUGACAAUCGAUUGUGUAACGUUCGAUUGCUUCAUGUUGGCUAGCCAGGCCAGAGCGAAUGGCUGCCCACCUGACCCCUUUGUGGAGCGACUCCACUUCCUGUUCCCCUUUUAAGAUGACCCCUGACCUUUAAACCUGAGGUCAACACCUCUGGACUUACCACUUAAGCAGCACGGCGAGCGCAGGCAGACAUUCCUUCAGCGAAUGUGUUUGUUUGAGUGGAUCACCAUCCUUCAGAAAGGG